Molecule: ribosomal RNA, 473 nt
Filed under: Pseudoalteromonas haloplanktis
Lineage: Bacteria; Pseudomonadati; Pseudomonadota; Gammaproteobacteria; Alteromonadales; Pseudoalteromonadaceae
Description: bacterial SSU rRNA
Rfam family: Bacterial small subunit ribosomal RNA
Source: RNAcentral
UGGCUCAGGAUGAACGCUGGCGGCAGGCCUAACACAUGCAAGUCGAGCGGUAACGAGAAGAGUAGCUUGCUACUUUUGCUGAACGAGCGGCGGACGGGUGAGUAAUGCUUGGGAACAUGCCUUGAGGUGGGGGACAACAGUUGGAAACGACUGCUAAUACCGCAUAAUGUCUACGGACCAAAGGGGGCUUCGGCUCUCGCCUUUAGAUUGGCCCAAGUGGGAUUAGCUAGUUGGUGAGGUAAUGGCUCACCAAGGCGACGAUCCCUAGCUGGUUUGAGAGGAUGAUCAGCCACACUGGGACUGAGACACGGCCCAGACUCCUACGGGAGGCAGCAGUGGGGAAUAUUGCACAAUGGGCGCAAGCCUGAUGCAGCCAUGCCGCGUGUGUGAAGAAGGCCUUCGGGUUGUAAAGCACUUUCAGUCAGGAGGAAAGGUUAGUAGUUAAUACCUGCUAGCUGUGACGUUACUGACAG